AGAUAGGCUGUUUGUAGGAGGCUCGGAGGCGGGUUUCUCACACAAUGAGAAUGGAAUAUUACUAAAGAGCUGAAAGUUAAAGGGUAUGAAACCGCAGUGCUCAGCUGAUGUUUAAAUAAAAGUAAAUGUAGCUUUGUCGCAAUUGAUUGUGGAUUGAGUCCUUUAUGAAUAAAUCGUUUUUGAAGAUACUCUACUAAAAGACGAACAUCACAAAAAAUGAUACGAAAUAAAACUCAUUUGAAUUAUUAUUCGCACCGCUGACUUCACAGGAUAAUAGCGUGAAAGUAAAGUCGCCUCUUGCGAUUCAAAGAAAAAC
This 316-nucleotide unclassified non-coding RNA is filed under the name Melitaea cinxia (Glanville fritillary). RNAcentral's name for it is "misc RNA ENSMCXG00005001445.1". The record is from RNAcentral. Lineage: Eukaryota; Metazoa; Arthropoda; Insecta; Lepidoptera; Nymphalidae.